CACCGAUCUCUAAGUCCUAUGGUAAUAGUUAUUGGCCAUAUUUUUUGGUUAAGUCAAACCCACCGUUCACCAGUGGGUGCAAAGCCAUCAUUGGAUCUUCACCUAAUAAUCAUUGGGCCUAACCCCAUCUCUACCUUAGAGCAUCUAAUGCUAUUAGAGUGGUUGUGCCUUCUCGAUGUAACUGAACCACUAUGAUCAACUGAGAAUAAUCAAUGUCAGAAAGAAGCUCGCAUCUCUACAUGAUGGA
This 247-nucleotide long non-coding RNA is filed under the name Elaeis guineensis (African oil palm). RNAcentral's name for it is "long non-coding RNA (EGUI_LNC042954)". The record is from RNAcentral. Lineage: Eukaryota; Viridiplantae; Streptophyta; Magnoliopsida; Arecales; Arecaceae.